This is a transfer RNA of Camelus ferus (Wild Bactrian camel), 72 nucleotides long. It matches the Rfam family "tRNA". Rfam says of the family: Transfer RNA (tRNA) molecules are approximately 80 nucleotides in length. Their secondary structure includes four short double-helical elements and three loops (D, anti-codon, and T loops). Further hydrogen bonds mediate the characteristic L-shaped molecular structure. tRNAs have two regions of fundamental functional importance: the anti-codon, which is responsible for specific mRNA codon recognition, and the 3' end, to which the tRNAs corresponding amino acid is attached (by aminoacyl-tRNA synthetases). tRNAs cope with the degeneracy of the genetic code in two manners: having more than one tRNA (with a specific anti-codon) for a particular amino acid; and 'wobble' base-pairing, i.e. permitting non-standard base-pairing at the 3rd anti-codon position. The record is from Rfam. Lineage: Eukaryota; Metazoa; Chordata; Mammalia; Artiodactyla; Camelidae.
GAGGGUAUAGCUCAGUGGUAGAAUGUGUGUUUAGCAUGCACAAGGUCCUGGGUUCAAUCCCCACUACCUCCA